CUCUCAUCUCCCCUCAUCACUUGCAAACCAAAAAGGGAGAAGCCCAAACGUUUGGUUCUAAGCAACAUCACCACCAAGAUCGGGAAGAGAUACUCUUCAUCCUCUCUUCAACUGAGCUACUACAAGAGAAUUUUGAACUUCUGAUUCGGGGGAGGAGACGAUUUUGACAAACGUUAAGGCUGAGAAAACUCAACUUAGGACGCCUUGCCGGUUGCUGGUAUAACCUUUUCAAUUGAGGCAUAUGGAGCUUCUAACAUUGACAAAAUUCAUUUGGUCAAUUGCCCUAAUUUGGUCAUCCAUCUUGUUCAAGAAACUCCACUAGGUCAUGCUAACAUGUGCGUUUCUAUCUAUGAGGCACUUGAGGAGAAAGCAAAAGUGUCAUUUCCUGUGAAAGAUGAAUUGAAACAGUGAAGCAGGCUUUGGGGAGUUGAGUAGCAUGGCCUAAACACUUGGUCAUAAAAUCAUAUGUCAAUGUUGGAAUUAACUCAGUAUAAUUCAACCUAGAAACCUGCCGAGGAUAAUGUUGAGAAGAAGAAGAAAAGGAAAGAGAUAGGGGAGGAAAGGUAGCAGCCAAUACACCCAAGCAUAUACUGAUCAAGUGCCAAAUGAGUGGGAGAAGUUUGUUGUCAACACAUAUGUGCAUGAGCCAUAAAGUAGCGCGCUUGUUGCUGGUCUAUUUUUGCUAAGGAAAACAUUUUUUUUUAUGCUUCUCUGCUGGUACAUUGUCAUGCACCAUGUGUUGCCUGUUUUGGAAUAAAUGGAUAUAUAUAUAU
This 773-nucleotide long non-coding RNA is filed under the name Rosa chinensis. Its description in RNAcentral is "sRNA RchiOBHm_Chr1g0346951". The record is from RNAcentral. Lineage: Eukaryota; Viridiplantae; Streptophyta; Magnoliopsida; Rosales; Rosaceae.